UAGGGAAUCUUCGGCAAUGGACGAAAGUCUGACCGAGCAACGCCGCGGGAGUGAAGAAGGUUUUCGGAUCGUAAAACUCUGUUGUUAGAGAAGAACAAGGACGUUAGUAACUGAACGUCCCCUGACGGUAUCUAACCAGAAAGCCACGGCUAACUACGUGCCAGCAGCCGCGGUAAUACGUAGGUGGCAAGCGUUGUCCGGAUUUAUUGGGCGUAAAGCGAGCGCAGGCGGUUUCUUAAGUCUGAUGUGAAAGCCCCCGGCUCAACCGGGGAGGGUCAUUGGAAACUGGGAGACUUGAGUGCAGAAGAGGAGAGUGGAAUUCCAUGUGUAGCGGUGAAAUGCGUAGAUAUAUGGAGGAACACCAGUGGCGAAGUCGGCUCUCUGGUCUGUAACUGACGCUGAGGCUCGAAAGCGUGGGGAGCAAACAGG
RNAcentral lists this ribosomal RNA (429 nucleotides) under Gemmatimonadota bacterium. RNAcentral's name for it is "Gemmatimonadetes bacterium partial 16S ribosomal RNA". It matches the Rfam family "Bacterial small subunit ribosomal RNA", at positions 355 to 776 of the family's 1533-position model. Lineage: Bacteria; Pseudomonadati; Gemmatimonadota. The record is from RNAcentral.